This 468-nucleotide ribosomal RNA is filed under the name uncultured bacterium. RNAcentral describes it as "partial 16S ribosomal RNA". It matches the Rfam family "Bacterial small subunit ribosomal RNA", at positions 28 to 507 of the family's 1533-position model. The record is from RNAcentral.
GACGAACGCUGGCGGCGUGCUUAACACAUGCCAGUCGAACGGUGAAGCUCCAGCUUGCUGGAGUGGAUCAGUGGCGAACGGGUGAGUAACACGUGAGCAACCUGCCCCUGACUCUGGAAUAAGCGCUGGAAACGGCGUCUAAUACUGGAUACGAGAAGGGUCCGCAUGGGCACUUUCUGGAAAGUUUUUCGGUUGGGGAUGGGCUCGCGGCCUAUCAGCUUGUUGGUGAGGUAAUGGCUCACCAAGGUGACGACGGGUAGCCGGCCUGAGAGGGCGACCGGCCACACUGGGACUGAGACACGGCCCAGACUCCUACGGGAGGCAGCAGUGGGGAAUAUUGCACAAUGGGCGAAAGCCUGAUGCAGCGACGCCGCGUGAGGGAUGACGGCCUUCGGGUUGUAAACCUCUUUCAGCAGGGAAGAAGCGAAAGUGACGGUACCUGCAGAAGAAGCACCGGCUAACUACGUG